This 1332-nucleotide long non-coding RNA is filed under the name Taeniopygia guttata (zebra finch). Its description in RNAcentral is "lncRNA (ENSTGUG00000025643.1)". Lineage: Eukaryota; Metazoa; Chordata; Aves; Passeriformes; Estrildidae. The record is from RNAcentral.
GCCUAACUUUGACCACCAGAAAUGCAAUUUUACAUCAGGAUUAAGCAUGCAUAUUAUAGUCACAUAUAGGUUGUAUUGUCUGUACUGCGCUGGAGAACUCAGAACUGCUGUUUCAAUCUGGUUUUGCGUUGGUGAUUAGGGAAGAAUGAUUCCCCAGUAUCACUCUGCAAAGAGAAUCAAUGUGUUGAAACAAGAACAUUUCAGUGACAUUGGAAAGUCUUUUUUCUUGCACAUCAUUCAUGUUACAUCACACUGGUUUAUUUUAAACAGGAUGUCACUGUCAGCAAAUUCCUUGUGUAUGUAUGCUCACAUGUGUUCAGAUGUUCACUAUUAUUUCACAUGUGUGUGUUCCUCUUUUUGAAAAAAAAAAUAGCAGAGAACUAAGCAUUGUUGAUAAUAUUCCUGCUUUACUUUUUCAAGUCUUCUGAACGGAUUCAAGCUUUUAGUGGCGAUUAGUACUGUGUAAAGAAAAAGUUCAUCCACCCACAUCAUAAUUACUUGGUUGUUAGGAGUAUUUUUAGCAGCACAAUUUGGUAAAUGGUUCCAAAUACAAUAGUUUAGAAAGAGACACUGUGGCCCAGCAAACAGUGAAACAAGAGUACAAGGAGGGGAUGAAGCAACACACAGCAUCAGAUGUCAGGAUGGAGCUGCGCAGAGCUCCCACCACCCUCGUUGUUGCAGGUGGGUGGAAGGAGAAAGAAUGUGAAAUAGUGGAUCUGUGGUCCUUCCCUUGCUCACACGGCAAGACAGCUGCUCAGGCAAGUCAGCAGGUGAGUGCUGUAAUCACCACAGACCCAGUAGCAUCACUCCCUGAAGCAAAGCCAUGAAUGAACACAAUGACCCUUACUCAUGGUCGAUUAUUAUCUCAUAGUCUACUCUGGGAACAGACUUGCUGCUGGCACAGCCCAAAUUGCAUUAUUCUUUUUAGGGAACAUCUUUCCUUCUGGAGGUGCCUUCCUGGGGAGAAGAUAGCUAGGAAGAAAGACUUGACAGUAAUUUCCAAAGAGAUUACUUUCACGCCUGAACUUUGUUGGGAAAAGGUCUCAAGCCAUUGAGCAAUGUCUGGUUUGGGCAAUCAUGUUGCUAUGCUUCAUCGGAUAAGCACAGCAGUAAUUCAGAAAAUGAAGCCAUGCUGCAUCUGUCAUAUCAUUUAAAAUUGACUUCAGUUUUGCAGGUAUUUGAAGAUUGCAAAAUGACACACAUUUUACUGCAAUAUUCUGCCAACACUGGAGUCUGGUCUGAACCUAAUGGAUUUCCUUAUCUUUAGCUUUCCAGAGUGAGAGAAGUUUCCUCUUUCCCCGCCCUGACCCUGCCCUACAAUAUAUUCCAGUC